AACGAACGCUGGCGGCAGGCUUAACACAUGCAAGUCGAGCGCCCCGCAAGGGGAGCGGCAGACGGGUGAGUAACGCGUGGGAAUCUACCCAUCCCUACGGAACAACUCCGGGAAACUGGAGCUAAUACCGUAUACGCCCUUCGGGAGAAAGAUUUAUCGGGGAUGGAUGAGCCCGCGUUGGAUUAGCUAGUUGGUGGGGUAAAGGCCUACCAAGGCGACGAUCCAUAGCUGGUCUGAGAGGAUGAUCAGCCACACUGGGACUGAGACACGGCCCAGACUCCUACGGGAGGCAGCAGUGGGGAAUAUUGGACAAUGGGCGCAAGCCUGAUCCAGCCAUGCCGCGUGAGUGAUGAAGGCCCUAGGGUUGUAAAGCUCUUUCGCAGGUGAAGAUAAUGACGGUAACCUGAGAAGAAGCCCCGGCUAACUUCGUGCCAGCAGCCGCAGUAAAAC
This 450-nucleotide ribosomal RNA is filed under the name uncultured bacterium. RNAcentral's name for it is "bacterial SSU rRNA". It matches the Rfam family "Bacterial small subunit ribosomal RNA", at positions 29 to 526 of the family's 1533-position model. The record is from RNAcentral.